GAAGAGUGGGGAAAGGAAUCAGGCAAACUGAUGAGUCCUCAAAGAUGGAUCUGCAUUAGCUAAAUCAGUGAGGAUUAGAAAAGCCAAUGUGGCCAGAACAGAUUAGGGGAGGGGGGAAAAUAAGACUGGAAAUGUCAGCAGAAUCCAGAUCAUGUGGCAGAAAAUGGCAAUAAUCAUCUUGAAUUGAAAGAAAUUUGGCUUUUCCCAUUCCUUCAGCAUCCUUAAGAUUCGCCAUGCUCUCUUGAAAAUACUGCUCGGCCACAUCUGAAGAAAAGUACCAUAACAAUAUUUGAAGAUUGCUUGUAGAUUUGAAAUGGAAACAGGAUCAAUAUGCUUUUAGUGGUGGCGAACUAUUUGAAAAUAAUAAGUAUUUAGACAAGAGGACCUAGUUAAUCUACCUGUUUCUCAGCAAAGAUUUAGGUCUCAGAAGGAUACAGCAAUUUACUUCCCUUGGUUUUCAUACAUUUUAGCUCUCCAGCAAUAUGUAUCACCCCUUGAAUUCAUCUUUCUCAUAUGGUGAUGUGAGUGCCAGGUGCUUCCAGAGCGGCCUGCAUGAAUACAGCACUCCAGAACUCACGGAGGAGCAGGAAUUGGGUCAGCCUGUGCAGCGAGAAGGCACACUGUAUGCUCUGUGUCCAGAAUGCUGGAUUAAAGAACUCCCCAGGCUCACUGUUCUACCUAUUUCAUGGGGCUAAGAAAAACCAUAUGAGUCAUAAAUGGCAGCUUCCUCUUGGACUCCCAAAACCACAUGAGAAAGCUGAGGUUGCAGAAAGGGUGACUUGCCCAAGAUCGCUCACAGCUAAUAAAGGAUGGAGCUGUCAAACAGAAGAAUCUGGACUCCCACUCAGAUUUUCUGACCUCACAUCCAAUGCUAUUUCAACUUCACAAAGCUAUCUCUCUAAUAAUGAUUGAGGAUGUGAUCAAGAGAGUGAAAAGACAACACAGAAUGUGAGAAAAUAUUUACACAUCAUGUAUCUAGGGUCUAGUAUCCAGUAUGAAGGACUCCUAUCAGUCAACAAUAAAAAGACA
Long non-coding RNA from Canis lupus familiaris (dog), 1029 nucleotides. RefSeq lists it as uncharacterized. NCBI's taxonomy places the organism in Eukaryota, Metazoa, Chordata, Mammalia, Carnivora, Canidae. The transcript has 7 exons. The record is from RefSeq and is a predicted model, not a curated record.